AGAGUUUGAUCAUGGCUCAGGAUGAACGCUAGCGGCAGGCCUAAUACAUGCAAGCCGAACGGCAAGUUGAGUAGCAAUACUUGACCUAGAGUGGCGUAAGGGUGCGUAACACGUAUGCAAUCUACCCUCAACAGGAGGAUAGCUCCCCGAAAGGGGAAUUAAUACUCCAUAAGAUCACGGGAAGGCAUCUUCGAGUGAUUAAACUACAAGGGGUUGAGGAUGAGCAUGCGGUUGAUUAGUUAGUUGGUGAGGUAACGGCUCACCAAGACGAUGAUCAAUAGGGGAACUGAGAGGUUGAUCCCCCACACUGGCACUGAGAUACGGGCCAGACUCCUACGGGAGGCAGCAGUAGGGAAUAUUGGUCAAUGGGUGAGAGCCUGAACCAGCCAUGCCGCGUGCAGGAAGAAGGCCUUCUGGGUUGUAAACUGCUUUUGCCGGGGGAUAAAAUAGCUUUGCGAAGCAAAUUGAAGGUACCCGGGAAUAGCACGAUUCCGG
RNAcentral lists this ribosomal RNA (495 nucleotides) under uncultured Aquiflexum sp. RNAcentral's name for it is "bacterial SSU rRNA". It matches the Rfam family "Bacterial small subunit ribosomal RNA", at positions 8 to 506 of the family's 1533-position model. Lineage: Bacteria; Pseudomonadati; Bacteroidota; Cytophagia; Cytophagales; Cyclobacteriaceae. The record is from RNAcentral.